ACUCUUGAAGAGCUGGGGAACUGAAUACACAGGCAGUUUUUCUGAGAGCAGUUGGCGAACUCCUCUGGAAGAGAAAGAGGGUUUCUGUUUGGUAUUUCUGGGGUGAACCCAGAGAGCCAGUGAUUCCCUCUUCUUUGGCUUUCUUGAUAUUUUGCCUGUCCUUGCUGCUGUUGGUACUGGUGCUGCUGUCAAGUGCAUUUCAACAGAGAUGUUACUGGGAUUACUGCUUGAGUCAAAGAAGACUCUUGGCUCAGUGCUCUAUCCACAAUGGGUUGCUUGGCUGCCUCUAGAGAAGAUUCCUGUUCAGUUUUGGGCUGUGCCAGAUGUUCUCUGAAAUCCUCCAACUCUGAGAUUCUAUGAUUCAAUCAAAAGGUCGACUCAGUAUGUGUUUGUGUGUGUGUGUGUGUGUGUGUGUGUGUACAUAUACACAACAAUACAGACAGAAUAUAUAAUGUUUAUAUAUUAUAUAUGCAUGUAUGUCUAGUUAAAUAGAAAUCAAAUAUAUGGCAAUAUAAUACAAUAUAAGUAUAUAGUUACAAUAUAACAAAUAUAUAGUUAAAGACUGAUCUUGGAUUCAUUUUGAAGUAUCAAGUACUAGUAUCAGAAGUGACACUUCAGAUGAGAGGUCCAUUAUAAAACCUCAGUUCUGGAGUGUCUCACAUGUUGAAACCAGAUUGAAAUGAAAUUCUUGUGGCAGAGAGAUAAAGUGCAAUACAAAGGAAAGCCACAGCUCUAACUUAGCUGCCAAAAGUCACUGACAGGCUUUGAAAGCAAUCUGCCAUUUUUUUCUGUUCCUUCUUCAUGUGCAGCCUUCUCCAGAAUGCUGGGGUGGGGGUGGAGGGGACUGUUGACUGCAGUGCAUUUCUUUAAGAACAGACACAGACGCUGGCUAAAAUUUUCAUUUGUAAUCCUAAUGUUUUGAUAUCAUGUAGACAAUCAUCCAGUUGUUUAGUCUACAUUAAUACUAAACAUCUGGGCUGUCGGAAACAUCUGAAUAACUGACUGCAUUUUUCUCAUGGUCUGGAUGUUUUGGUAGACAUAGCCAUCUUACCACAGCAAAACAUAACUCAGGUAAAAUAGGAUAUGUGUUGAGGAGAGAAGCAGACAAAAGCCGCCCAGCAUCUUAUGUUAUUUCCUUUGUGAUCAGAAUGUAGAGUUCUCCUGUUUUAUUGAAAGUAAGCAGAUUCUAUUGCCUUGGGAAAGCCUCUCUAUAGGCUCUGCAUUUCCACCACAAUGAUGACUUACAUAGUUUUCUGUGAAAAGUGGAAAGUCAAAUGGGGAACAGAAGUC
This 1290-nucleotide long non-coding RNA is filed under the name Monodelphis domestica (gray short-tailed opossum). Its description in RNAcentral is "lncRNA (ENSMODG00000047447.1)". Lineage: Eukaryota; Metazoa; Chordata; Mammalia; Didelphimorphia; Didelphidae. The record is from RNAcentral.